Molecule: unclassified non-coding RNA, 615 nt
Filed under: Homo sapiens (human)
Lineage: Eukaryota; Metazoa; Chordata; Mammalia; Primates; Hominidae
Description: MUC20 overlapping transcript (ENSG00000280993.2)
Source: RNAcentral
AACCUUUGCUGUCUUGGGACGGAUCACCACUGCAAGAGGGGAAGUUGCUACUGUGAUGAAUUCUGCCAUGUGGCACCAGACUGCCACCCAGACCACAGUGUCCUCUGCAACCCUGGUAACUCACAUACAGGCCCGAUUCCACCGACAGCAAAGCUGGAUGCUAUGGCUGGCAGAGGCAAACCCUUUGCCUGCACUUCAGGCCAAAGCCGGGAUGUGGCCUAGAUGGUUCCUAAGCUUCUCAGAUGACCAAGAUGGUGCUGCAGAUGGUGCUGAGGAUGGAGAACCCACCAAGCCCCGCUAGGAGCCACCUAGACUGGAUGCAGAGCAUGGCUAAAACCUUUGAAGAAGAAUUUAUUAUAUCCUACAAACCUGGGAGGCAGAGGUUGCAGUGAGCCAAGAUUGGGCCAUCGCACUCCAGCCUGGGCAAUAAGAAUGAAACUCUGUCUCAAAAAAAACAAAAGUUGGCCAGGGCUGGGCGUGGUGGCUCACACCUGUAAUCCCAGCACUUUGGGGGGCUAAAGCAGGUGGAUCACCUGAGGUCAGAAGUACGAGACCAUCAUGGCUAAUAUGGUGAAACCCCAUCUCUACUAAAAAUACGAAAAAAGAAAAAAAAAA